RNAcentral lists this ribosomal RNA (499 nucleotides) under uncultured Glomeromycotina. RNAcentral's name for it is "partial small subunit ribosomal RNA". It matches the Rfam family "Eukaryotic small subunit ribosomal RNA", at positions 591 to 1092 of the family's 1831-position model. Lineage: Eukaryota; Fungi; Glomeromycota. The record is from RNAcentral.
CCAAUAGCGUAUAUUAAAGUUGUUGCAGUUAAAAAGCUCGUAGUUGAAUUUCGGGAUCAGUACGCUGGUCGUGCCUCCGGUAUGUACUGGUGUCACUGAUUCCUCCCUUCUGAAGAACCAUCAUGCCAUUAAGUUGGUGUGGUGGGGGAUCAGGACUGGUACUUUGAAAAAAUUAGAGUGUUUAAAGCAGGCUCGCGCUUGAAUACAUUAGCAUGGAAUAAUGAAAUAGGACGUUUAUCCUAUUUUGUUGGUUUCUAGGAUUGACGUAAUGAUUAAUAGGGAUAGUUGGGGGCAUUAGUAUUCAAUUGUCAGAGGUGAAAUUCUUGGAUUUAUUGAAGACUAACUACUGCGAAAGCAUUUGCCAAGGAUGUUUUCAUUAAUCAAGAACGAAAGUUAGGGGAUCGAAGACGAUCAGAUACCGUCGUAGUCUUAACCAUAAACUAUGCCGACUAGGGAUCGGAUGAUGUUAAUUUUUUAAUGACUCAUUCGGCGCCUUACG